This 395-nucleotide unclassified non-coding RNA is filed under the name soil metagenome. RNAcentral's name for it is "partial contains 5.8S ribosomal RNA, internal transcribed spacer 2, and large subunit ribosomal RNA". The stretch from base 1 to 122 matches the Rfam family "5.8S ribosomal RNA", at positions 35 to 154 of the family's 154-position model. The record is from RNAcentral.
GAUGAAGAACGUAGCGAAAUGCGAUACUUGGUGUGAAUUGCAGAAUCCCGUGAACCAUCGAGUCUUUGAACGCAAGUUGCGCCCGAAGCCAUCAGGUUGAGGGCACGUCUGCCUGGGCGUCACAUAUCGUUGCCCAAUGCAUAUUGCAGUGCAAUAGGAAUUUCUAGGGCGAAUGAUGGCUUCCCGUGAGCGUUGUUGCCUCGCGGUUGGUUGAAAAUCGAGUCCUUGGUAGGGUGUGCCAUGGUAGAUGGUGGUCGAGUUAGAACGAUACCGAUCAUGUGCAUGCUCCCCAAAAUAUGGCCUCUAUGACCCACACGCGUCUUUUGACGCUCAUGACGAGACCUCAGGUCAGGCGGGGCUACCCGCUGAAUUUAAGCAUAUCAAUAAGCGGAGGA